CCUACGGGUGGCAGCAGUGGGGAAUAUUGGGCAAUGGGCGCAAGCCUGACCCAGCAACGCCGCGUGAAGGAAGAAGGCUUUCGGGUUGUAAACUUCUUUUCUCAGGGACGAAGAAAGUGACGGUACCUGAGGAAUAAGCCACGGCUAACUACGUGCCAGCAGCCGCGGUAAUACGUAGGUGGCAAGCGUUAUCCGGAUUUACUGGGUGUAAAGGGCGUGUAGGCGGGACUGCAAGUCAGAUGUGAAAACCACGGGCUCAACCUGUGGCCUGCAUUUGAAACUGUAGUUCUUGAGGACUGGAGAGGCAGACGGAAGUCCUAGUGUAGCGGUGAAAUGCGUAGAUAUUAGGAGGAACACCAGUGGCGAAGGCGGUCUGCUGGACAGUAACUGACGCUGAGGCGCGAAAGCGUGGGGAGCAAACAGGAUUAGAUACCCUGGUAGUC
This 443-nucleotide ribosomal RNA is filed under the name uncultured bacterium. RNAcentral's name for it is "partial 16S ribosomal RNA". It matches the Rfam family "Bacterial small subunit ribosomal RNA", at positions 338 to 795 of the family's 1533-position model. The record is from RNAcentral.